Long non-coding RNA from Arvicola amphibius (Eurasian water vole), 2786 nucleotides. RefSeq lists it as uncharacterized. The transcript is spliced from 4 exons. Lineage: Eukaryota; Metazoa; Chordata; Mammalia; Rodentia; Cricetidae. The record is from RefSeq and is a predicted model, not a curated record.
CUGACAUUCUUUCUGGAUCCAAUUUUGCUGUGUACCUAACUAACCCAGUAGCAUUCGGAUCACCUCAUGUCACACAUCAACCCUGUUGGUCAAUGAAUGUGUUAUAGGAGUGGAUCAGAGUCCAGAGAGUAGCUUCUGAGACAUCCAAGAUCAACAUCCUGGAGCACAGAACCGGACCAGGACACACAGAGAGCAGUAGAACUAUAAACAGUUUAUUAAAAAAGAAAGGGAUGUUGUUGAGAAUGGAAGUGGAACCGGUCUGAGUCACCAAGUGUCAUCAGAGUCUCCGUCCUUUACAAGUCAUGAGUGUGAUCUUCUGGCAUUUAGAGGUUUUGUGCAGGAGACUUCAGCUUCCAUGAACUCAUGAGGGCAGAGGUUCUACCAUGCUCAGAAGACACUGUUUUACUGUGGUGCUACCUGACUUCUGGCUCCUACAACCUUGCUGUUCCCUCUUCUGAAAUGGUGUCUGAGCACUAAGCUCAGUCCCGCCUGCCAAGAGCAGCUCAGACAUUCAUCUGCAUGCUUUCCUUCAACUGAGGCUCCCGGAGGCUGUGGCCGAACUGCAGAAAAGCCAACAAUAAUGACAAGAAGGCAGAAGGCGAAAACACGAUCAGAGAGCCUGCUCCCUAAUUUGGGGUUUUGUGGUCUUCUUUAGAUCCUCGACCUAAUCAAAUCCAAACAAGAGCAGCAACUCCAAGUGUGGCAGGGGUGUGUACGUCUUUUUCUUUACAUUAUCUUUGUUCACAUAUUGAGGGCUACGGAAGGCAAGACUCAGCAAGGCCCUGUUUUAUAGCGUGUUUCACGCUUAUCGGUAAUUUUUUCCCUCUGACCUUCUGCCUCAGACAAUUAAUUUUCUUGAACUGCUCGCACACUGGAAGAACAUGGUGGGAGGGGGUGGACGAUGUUGGCACUGGUGAAAAUAAUCCAGGCAGCAGAGUUGUGCAAUUAUUCAAACACCUAAUCUUAUCUCUUGUUUCAUUUUUAUAUCACAAGUGCACGUUUAGAAGUAUUAGAUGGACCGGGAUGCUGUCGCACACCUCUGAAGCCCAGUAAAUAAAUGCCGCUAAGUGCCACCAGGAGCGAAAGGGCUCGUAAUGAGCAGUGCGCGGCUGAUAUGGGCUUCAUUCAUCAUUCUGUUCAGACCAAUAUUGAGGCUCUUGUUAUCAGCAGGAUUCGUGGCGAUGUCAUCGCGCUGGGCAUAAAUCUUCUGUCAGUGUGGCGCAGCCUGAUGCCCUAUUAAAAGUCUGCCUUCACCUAAUCACAAAAUGACCUUUCAAUGUCUUUAAUUAACCUCUGACCCCAACCAUGCCAAUGUCUUGUAGGUAGGUAAAUCUAUGGCAUGACAUUUGCUUGGGGCACUCCAUCUGUCUUGGUUCAAUCAUUGUCCCCUUCCGAUUAUGGCUUAAAGGAAAUACAGUUGGGACUCCUCUUAAUAGUUGGAUUAAUCUUUAAAAGGUUAGAACAUAAUAUUUUCCUCUGAGCUCCCAGCAGUGGCUUUGCAGCUAUUUUCCCCUUGGGAGUUAGACUCCCCCACUAAAGUAAGUUUAGGUAAAGCCCUCAGUUUCAGCAAUAAUAUCCUCUUUCCCACCCAAAGUUAUUUCUCUUGAGUGGUUUGGGAGCCAGAGACACUCUGACUGGACCAGAGGACAGAAGCCUUAAAACACAACCUCUCCUCAUAUGCCCGAGACAAUGGGAUGGACCAGUGGUGUGGAAAUAAAAGAAAGAUAAGAGAAUAGGGAUUUCAUCUUAAUUUAGGAUCGAGGUGAUCUACGCUGCACUGUACGUACCCAUUUGGCCCUGAGACCACUUUAGGUAACAGAACAGCAAUCCUGUCUCAUUUUCUAUGAAGUAAAAUGCCACCAGGGACUCCUAUGUGAAUUUGUGAAUAUUACAAAUGUAAAAUAGUUACAAACAAAUACAAUUUCCUUACAUAAAAUCUAGCCACAGAUUGAUCAGAGUGCUGACUCCUUUAAAUGUGAUAGUUUGUUUCACAUGGCAGGUUGUAAUUGGUCUAUAAAUCACACCAAACUGAAUAAAACAAGAGUUUGGAGGAAUCUAAACUGCGCCCAAUUUCAUACUCAAGCAGAAGCCUGCAAGAGCUUAGAUUGGCUAUCUCUGAGGUCUUUCUCCAUUAUAAAAGUCCAUGAGUCAGGAUGGUGGGAUUACAAACUCUGGGUUAUUGGAUCUGAGUUUAAAAAGUUUCCUGCCUUUUAACUGCUGUUUCUUAGUAGACUGCAAAUCCUCACUUGCCAGCUUGCUCUGCAGAGCCCUUGUAGGCACUAUGCCAAUCCAAGAUUUACAGGAGUGCUGGGGAUUUGAACUCUGGCCCUCUUGCCUGUAUUAGUAAGUACCUUAACCACUGAGCCAUUUCCCCAGCCCAUGUUAUUUUUUUAUCUUAAAUUUAAUAAGUAGUAUGGGAUAGUCACACCUUGAGAUUUGUGUUGGGAAAUGCUUAGUUUGAUAACCAUAUGAAGAACGGAUGAGAAUAAGACAGGGAGAUUCGAGGAGAAGCUAAUUCCAACACCUUGUAUUAUAUAAAACCCCUUGAGAGUGAUCUCCCCAGAAAUAAGGCCACUCUAGACCUUUCUUUGGACUCCAUAAAAAGUUAUAUUUUUGUCUCUUUGUGGGCACCAAAAUGGUAAGGGGUGAAAGACCCUUGUGUUCCCCAAAAUGCUUAUCACUUUUUAGGACCAAGAGGCGGUCCAAAGACCUCUCUGCUUCUAUGUCAUUCCUGCUGGGACCACAAGAGAAUAAGACUGUAACAUCUAGCCCAACAUCUGCCCUCA